CAGCACUUUGGCACAGACAUCUCAGUCAAUGUACUGUUCUUACAGGCCUUUUCCUUUUCUGUUAGCUUCAGAGCAACCAUGUGCAUAAGAACAAUUUGAACCCCAGUUUGUCACUGCUGCUUUGCUGUUAUUGUUAGAGGAUGAUUCUCGUCACACAUCUCAAAUUAAGAUAUUUUGAGGGCACUCAGAAAAUGGAAGACAUCAAAUGAAAAUGGGCUUUCCAAAAGUGGAGACAGUUCCUGUGAACAGACGUUAGCAAAGACAGUGGAGCCAACAACACAAACACAGAUUGAAGAAAUUUCAUGUUCAUGUCCAUUUGAAUGCCUCUCCGACUUGAUGCAAGAAUCUUCUGUCAGAUGACGUGUACUGGUGCUGAACAAGAGUAAAGAGCUUCUGUCUUCUGUGAUGUCACAACGGACCAUUGCCUGUUUGUCAGUUUGGGCACUUCUCUAGGAAAAGCAGCCAAGGGACCAAGACAGAACAAAUGCAAAGCCACUUUAUCCAGCCAAAACACAACAAUACAACAUCCUCCUGUGUCUUCUCAAGCAUUAUUGUCUCAUGGCACAGAGGUCUCCAAGCUACUGUUCCUCCAGAGAAAACAAGUAUUCUCCAAAAUGGUUAAUUUCUGUGAUACAUGGAGCAGCAAACAAUGAAAAUAGCUUGAUAACAAUCAAUAAGGAAUUUAAUUUGGAGAAGUUUGUGUAGUCAAGAAUACGCGGUCCUCUUAAAUGUGGCCUGAGCUAAGAAGAGAGAGCUGGAUUAUAUGAAACAUAAGUGAAGUAUAAGUGGUUUAGGCUAGUAUUUAAAUACAUGUGAUACAAUGUGUGCAUGUUGUCUAACAAAAAGUAUGACAUUUUAAAAACCCAUCGAGUUCCUGUGUGAUCAAUUGUAUGAUGUCAUAAUACAAUGUACAGAAAGUAGCCAACUUUGCAUUCGUUCUAGACAUAAAAACAGCAUGUUUAUCGGCAACGGUGCAAACAGAGCACGUGAUUAAAGUGUGAUCACUAGAAUAUUUGCAUCUCUUCAAACAUAACUUCUACUAAAACCAGCAUUAAA
This is a long non-coding RNA of Xyrauchen texanus (razorback sucker), 1056 nucleotides long. RefSeq lists it as uncharacterized. The transcript has 4 exons. NCBI's taxonomy places the organism in Eukaryota, Metazoa, Chordata, Actinopteri, Cypriniformes, Catostomidae. The record is from RefSeq and is a predicted model, not a curated record.